Rosa chinensis is the source of this 1848-nucleotide long non-coding RNA. RefSeq lists it as uncharacterized. The record is from RefSeq and is a predicted model, not a curated record. NCBI's taxonomy places the organism in Eukaryota, Viridiplantae, Streptophyta, Magnoliopsida, Rosales, Rosaceae. The transcript is spliced from 3 exons.
UUGAGGUUGCUCCUUGUUUGUGUUCUCUCCAUCAUCACAGGCAUAAUUGUUUUCAAGAACGUCUUCCUCUUCACGUUGUUUUCUCCUCUUUUUGAUCUUGGCUUUGGGUUCACCAUUUUUUCGUAGCAGACAGAGAACAUAGUCUUCCACCUUUUGUUUCUUGUCUCUGAGUGAUGGAUCAAGGUAGAAUUCAUACAAGAUCCAACAACCGUUGUGCUCCGAUGCUUGGUUGUAAUAACCUGUUUUGGCAGCAUUUAGUGGGUUUACUGUGGAUAAAAGAAAAGUGGAACAUGUUUCCGUGUUUUGAGCAACAAAGGGAAAGCAGUGCUUCUGCUUUGACUCUCUCUCUCUCUCACUCAAACUCUCACUCUCUUUCUCGUCCGAAACCCAUUCGAAAACAGAGCACGGUUUCUCCGGUCUCUCUCUCCCACCUCAGGCCACCACAAGACACCAGACCACGUCCCACACCUUCGCCUCAAUAUUGCGCAGCUGCAGGUGGCAGCCUUGCGCUGCAGAACAGCCGGAAGCGGCGGCGGGAAGCUCCGCCCGGUUUGAGCUCGUUUGGGUUCCAAGCUUGAUAUCUCAAGCUACCGGUCACCAAUCCUCACCAAAAUUCAUCCUCGAGCUCACCUCAACCUCCUGAAACUCCCAGAAGUGUCCAUAUACGACGGUGCUGCGCGUGGUGGCAGCUGGAAGCCAGCCCCGAUCAAAAUCGAAAAAAAGGAGCUAUCGAUCCGGAUAUCUCGAGCUACAGACCAUCAUUUCUUGUUAUUAUUGCGCUGGUGAACUCAGAUUGAAGUUUUGAACAACUUUCAUGAAGGUAUCGAAGCGAGUUGUUGAAGUUUUUACGUCGGAAUUCAAAAUCGCCGGAUUCUGGAAAUUUUCCGGCCACCGAAGCUUUCGAUCAAGAUAUCUCGAGCUGUAGAGCUUCUUUUUGAGUGAUUCUUGAACCAAUGAGUUCGGCUUGAUAUUUUUAACAACUCUACAGAAGCAAUCGAGGCCUGAAAUCGAAGUUUUUACGUCGAAAUCAAGCUCGCCGUUUUCUGCAAUUCUCGCCGGUUUCUGGAAAAAAUUCCGGCCACCUCGACUGUUUUAGGUGUUUGACGGUUUGAUUUGGCGGACGAUUCGUAUAAUCGUGGUUGUGCUGUUAAGAAGACGCAGCUGGAUUAGAGCGGGUAAUCCUACAGGACAGAAGAAUCAGGAAGGCGAUCGAGCUGUGUAGAGUAGCUGCAUGUGAUACUCUAAAUUUCUAUUGAGAGGUUUGUUAUGCUCAUUUAGAGCUUUACAAUCUUACUUGUAUGAGUGAGUUGUAAUAAUUAACUCGAGGUUUUCGAGAUUUGAAUUUUGAGUGGCUUGUGGGGUGGUUGUUCAGAAAAAAAAAAUUCAGAACGUUUAUUUGUAAUAGUUAUUAUUCACGUUUCGGAUUUGAAUUGGUUAUUCAAAAUUCGGGGCGUGACAUUGGUUCUUGUAAGUAAGUUUUUUCUUCAAGCCAACCACACGACCAGUCUCCAGAGAUUUUACUGGCUUGCCGGAGUCGUCGCCCUUCCAGGUGCCAUUGCCAACGGUCCGGCGUAUGCGUGUGUCUGUGGAACUCAUCGUCUUGUGUUUGGUGAAGAAGUAGAUGUCCUUGUUGAGCCUCAAGUCGUUUGGUCUACAAGCACUGCUCCACCACCACUGCUCUACAAGCACCAUCGUGCCUCAUGUCCACCACUAUCCUGCUCACCGGCCUCUGUCGAGCCACCGGCAACUUCCACAGCGUUCAGCAGUGCCCGAAAAUGGCCCACACGCCGUCAUUUUGGAUACCCUGAAUUUUUUCUGGGCACUCAUGUUCUUCGCUGAAUCAUCUAU